Molecule: ribosomal RNA, 253 nt
Filed under: uncultured bacterium
Lineage: Bacteria
Description: partial 16S ribosomal RNA
Rfam family: Bacterial small subunit ribosomal RNA
Source: RNAcentral
UACGGAGGGGACUAGCGUUGUUCGGAAUUACUGGGCGUAAAGCGCGCGUAGGCGGAUUUGCAAGUCGGGGGUGAAAGCCCGAGGCUCAACCUCGGAACUGCCCUCGAUACUGCAAAUCUCGAGUCCGAGAGAGGUGAGUGGAAUUCCUAGUGUAGAGGUGAAAUUCGUAGAUAUUAGGAAGAACACCAGUGGCGAAGGCGGCUCGCUGGCUCGGUACUGACGCUGAGGCGCGAAAGCGUGGGGAGCAAACAGG